CCCGCUUAAUUCAGGUUUACGGCCAAGCCGGUUCUCAGGCGGUGCUGUUGGUUUUCUUCUCACGAAUCUCCCUCCUUCUUCCCGGAAUUUGGAAUCGAGUGAGUUUUCUGACGUAUUUGAGCACAGGACCCAGGGGUACUUGAAGAGAGAACUGGUCCGGGAGGAGCUGGACUGAUCACAGAAAUGAGUCCUGCAGAUGCCCUCGAUGAUGAAAAUACAUUUAAAAUUUUAGUUGCAACAGAUAUUCAUCUGGGAUUUAUGGAAAAAGAUGCCGUCAGAGGAAAUGAUACGUUUGUAACACUUGAAGAAAUUUUAAAACUUGCCCAGGAAAAUGAUGUGGAUUUUAUUUUGUUAGGUGGUGAUCUUUUUCAUGAAAAUAAACCCUCAAGAAAAACAUUACAUACCUGCCUCGAGUUAUUAAGAAAAUAUUGCAUGGGGGAUCGUCCUGUACAGUUUGAAAUUAUCAGCGAUCAGUCAGUCAACUUUGGUUUUAGUAAGUUUCCAUGGGUGAACUAUGAAGAUGGCAAUCUCAACAUUUCGAUUCCAGUGUUUAGUAUUCAUGGCAACCAUGAUGAUCCCACGGGGGCAGACGCACUCUGCACCCUGGAUAUUUUAAGUUGUGCUGGAUUUGUAAAUCAUUUUGGACGUUCAAUGUCUGUGGAGAAGGUAGACAUUAGUCCGGUUUUGCUUCAAAAAGGAAGCACAAAAAUUGCUCUAUAUGGCUUAGGAUCCAUUCCAGAUGAAAGGCUCUAUCGAAUGUUUGUCAACAAAAAAGUAACAAUGUUGAGACCAAAAGAAGAUGAGAACUCUUGGUUUAACUUAUUUGUGAUUCAUCAGAACAGGAGUAAACACGGAAGUACUAACUUCAUUCCAGAACAGUUUUUGGAUGACUUCAUUGAUCUUGUUAUCUGGGGCCAUGAACAUGAAUGUAAAAUAGCUCCAACCAAAAAUGAACAACAGCUCUUUUACGUAUCACAACCUGGAAGUUCAGUGGUCACUUCUCUUUCCCCAGGAGAAGCUACAAAGAAACACAUUGGUUUGCUGCGUAUUAAAGGAAGGAAGAUGAACAUGCAGAAGGUUCCUCUGCACACAGUGCGGCAGUUCUUCAUGGAGGAUGUUGUUCUGGCGGAUCACCCAGACAUUUUUAACCCAGAUAAUCCUAAAGUAACCCAGGUCAUACAGAGCUUCUGCUUGGAGAAGAUUGAAGAAAUGCUUGAAAAUGCGGAACGGGAACGUCUGGGAAAUUCUCAACAGCCAGAGAAGCCUCUUAUACGACUGCGAGUGGACUAUAGUGGAGGCUUUGAACCAUUCAGUGUUCUUCGCUUUAGCCAGAAAUUUGUGGACCGGGUAGCUAAUCCAAAAGAUGUUAUCCAUUUUUUCAGGCGUAGAGAACAAAAGAAAAACAUGGAAGAAGAGAUCAACUUUGGGAAUUUCAUCACAAAACCUUCAGAAGGAACAACUCUAAGGGUAGAAGACCUUGUGAAACAGUAUUUUCAAACCGCAGAGAAGAAUGUGCAGCUCUCACUUCUAACAGAAAGGGGAAUGGGUGAAGCAGUACAAGAAUUUGUGGACAAGGAAGAAAAAGAUGCCAUAGAGGAAUUAGUGAAAUAUCAGCUGGAAAAAACACAGCGAUUUCUUAAAGAACGUCAUAUUGAAGCCUUAGAAGAUAAAAUCGAUGAAGAGGUACGUCGUUUCAGAGAAAGCAGACAAAAGAAUACAAAUGAAGAAGAUGAUGAAGUUCGAGAGGCCAUGAGUAGGGCCAGAGCCCUUAGAUCUCAGUUUGAGGAUGCCGCUUCCGCCUUUAGUGCUGAAGACCUCAUAAGUAUAGAUAUGGCAGAACAGAUGGCUGAUGACUCUGAUGAUAGCAUCACAGCAGCAGCCAACAAAGGAAGAGGCCGAGGAAGAGGCCGGAGAGGAGGGAGGGGCCAGAGUUCAGUGUCAAGAGGAGGAUCUCAGAGAGGAAGAGCAGGCACUGCUCUGGAGACUUCUACUCGAGGCAGAGGUUCAAGGGCCACUAUGUCAACAUCUAGAAAUUUGUCUAUUAUAGAUGCCUUUAAAUCUGCAAGACAGCAGCCUUCCCAAAAUGUUGCUACUAAGAAUUAUUCAGAGGUGAUCGAGGUAGAUGAGUCUGAUCCAGAAGACGUUUUUCCUACCACUUCCAAAACUGAUCAAAGGUGGUUGAGCACUUCAUCAUCGAGCAAACGUAUGUCCCAGAGCCAGAUCGCUAAAGGGGUCGAUUUUGAAUCAGAUGAGGAUGACUAUGAUGAUCCUUUUGUGAACUUUAGUUCUGUAAGAAGAAACAGAAGAUAAUAUAUUUAAUGACAGUUUGAAGUUUUCAAGAUUCUGGAAAAAUUGAAACUUUGCAAACUAAGAGUUUACCAGUUGAAGAUUUUUUGAAUAUUGCUGUUAACUGAAGAAUUUGAAUUAUUCUUACUUAAUAGAGAAACUAAUGUCAGAAGGCCUUUUCCUGUGAAACAUUCUGAGACGUCUGCUCCCAUCUUCAUUAUUCCCAGUAUUUGAAUGAAGCAAAGAUGAAAUCAUGAGUAAGAGUGGCUCUCCACGGUGGGAUGGAAGCUGGUUUGGGUGGCAGUCUCUGGGAAGACGGCCAGUGGCUCUCCUCACCUGCCAAUGAGAUGUGCUGGGGUGAGGGUCAUAGUGAGGGAGAUGGUCACUAAUGCAUCGUGACAGGUUCCUGAGAAAAAAAGAGUAAGGCUCUCUCCCUUUCUGCAAACUGCUCUGUGGCAUGAAAGAGGUACUGAAUGGGAUGCAGUUACCUCCUAGGAAAGGUGUGAUUCCAUGGCGGUGAGAGAGGGUGAAAUUCUCAGCUAAUUCAGGUCGUUUUGUGAACAGUGUGUGUCACUUCCUGGAAAUACAGCAAAUAAGACACGAAAGAAAAACCUUUUUGAUGAAUAUUGCUGUAUAGUUAAUAUGCCACAUAUCCUUGAUAUUUUGUAUCAAUGCAGUAAAAUCUAGGGUUUUAGGGGCAGUUUUCAGACAUGUUGGAACAGGUGUGUGGAGGCUAUUCCAAAUGACUUCAAGAGCCCCUACAGUUGCUCAUAGGGGCGGAGAGAGAGCCUCAGUGAAAACAUUCUGAGGAAGAAAAAUCCUUCCACCAUUUACCGAAGAAUAUCUGUCUUGCUAGCGUUUUGUUUUGUAUCAAAAAUACAGUAGUGCAUUUACAAUUCCAGGAAAUAAAACUGGUACUUAGAAAAUUCAAGCAUUUAGCCAGAUGACUUUCAAUUUGGGUACAUAUUGGACAUUUUUUCCCUAAACUUUUAAAAUUAUGAAAUACAAUAACAGGGAAGUCACGUGGUUUAACAAACAAUGAUAAAGUGAGCCUCAUGGCAUUCCCCAUGCAGGUCAGGAAACAGAAUUUCACCAAUGCCUCAGAAGGCCACCAGUGAUCUCUGGGAAACUGGUCUUGACUUACGCAAUUCAGAAAUUCUUACUUUUGCCACAAGGUGGUGCUUCCAAAUCUAAAAUUAAGAGUCAAGGUAGUUUUGCAGUAAAUUUGGAACCUAUACAAUAAUGCUAAACCUAUGCAGUAAAGCCAAAAUUAGCUUUCUAAUUUUAUAUGUAAAUUGCUUGACAUAUUUCACCUGGCUCAGCCUGUUAUUAAGGAAAUUGCUAGUUUGAUAAAUUUUACAUAUAAAGGUUCAAGAAGAAAAUGUUUUAUGUUUUAAUAAAGAGGAAAAAGUCUUUAUUAGAGAAAUGGAAUUAAAAAGUCUCCCAUUGUAAAAUUUUUCUGUUGGAAUGUACUAUAUUUAAAAAUAAGCUCCCCCCACAGUAUUUUGUGGCUUUUUAAAGCUAGCUACCAUUAAGAUUAUUAUGAAAGUUUUGUAGAAUAAAGAUUUGGGGGUUGUUUUAGUCCAGAGUGCUUCCAUAUUCUUGAAUGAAAAAUGUUCACAUUUCAUCAUUUUCCUAUCUCAUUCCCUUUUAAUAUUUCUGAACUUAAUGUUUAAUAGCUAGGUCUGAAAAUACUAACAAUUUAGCUUAAUCUCUAAGAAGUCAGUUCACAUAGCUUGCUAUUGUCAUGCAUAUUUGUAUAUCUUUACCAUGACCGAUCACGAGAUCCGGUUUUAGCUGUUUAAAUUGUAAAAGCAAUACCUAUUCUUCAAAAUUCAGACAUUGAAAUCUUUAUCAAAAUGUGUAUUUCCCUAUAAUCCUCUCCCAGACACAACAUCUCAACAAUUAUGUAUGUAUUUCUCCAAUUACUUUUGGCAUGACCACUAACAAAACUUGUUGAAUUAGAACCCCAAAUUGUAUAGUCAAAUAUUUUGGUCUCUGUGUCAAGGUAUAUGUUCACCUUGGUACUUAUCUUGACAUCCUGAUUUUUCCAUAUCUUCUUUAUCAAACUUUUAAUUAAACCAUCUGUUUUGAGAUAAUUGCACUGCUUUCCAAUGUGUAAUUUAAAUGUUAUCACUCAAUAAUAAUUUGGGUCAAAUAAAAACACAUUUAAUCUGUGUGCCUUGACAUCGUAAGUGGUAGAGUGAGACUCAGAGGGCCCUUGGCCGGUGAUUGCACAUAAUAAUUGAUCAGCUGAAAGAAGCACAACAGAUACUAGGCUGGUUGGCCCAGGCCACACUCUGUUCUGCCUGUCAGAGCCGCUGGGCAGUGCUGCUGACUCAUGUGCAGCUACCCAACACUAGUGCGUGAGUACCCUUGAUCACAGUGCCUGUUUAAUUCCAAAGGUUUCAUGAUUGUUAUGUUUGAAAAUCAAUGUUUUCUCCACUCUAAGCUUACAAAACUAACUUCAGUCUAUCUAUGAUUGCAUUUGAACUGAUUGCAGGGUGUAUCUGGAUUUUGAGCAAAUGUUGCUAGAGGCAAAAAGCCAUUGCUUAAUGGAAUGAGAGGCACAAUUGCAGUCUGUUGGUCUUCUUUUUUCUCUUUUUUUUUUUUUUCCGUCUAUCAGUCUUGAUAGUCUGGAAACAGCAUUUGUGAGAUGACAUCUACCCAUCCAUCAUAGACAUACCUGAAAGUGCCCGAUGGUUGAUCAUCCCAGUCUUUUUUUUUUUCCUUUCCUUCAGAUCUUUAUUGGAGUAUAAUUGCUUUACAAUGCUGUGUUGGUUUCUGCUGUACAACAAAGUGAAUCAGCUGUAUGUAUACGUAUAUCCCCAUCUCCCCUCCCUCUUGAGCCUCCCUCCCACCCAACCUAUCCCACCCCUUUAGGUCAUCACCAAGCAUCAAGUUGAUCUUCCUGUGCUAACCAUCCCAGUCUUGAUUUCUGAGCUUUUUAGUAGUGCUUUAAAACCGGGUCAUGUUUUUUAAACUUUUAAUGUUGAAAUAAUAUCAAAUUUAUGGAAAAUGUACGAGAACUUUUACUCAGAAUCACCAAUUUUUAACAUU
Hippopotamus amphibius kiboko is the source of this 5346-nucleotide RNA transcript. It is a transcript of the gene named MRE11 homolog, double strand break repair nuclease, with no coding region annotated. The record is from RefSeq and is a predicted model, not a curated record. The transcript has 21 exons. NCBI's taxonomy places the organism in Eukaryota, Metazoa, Chordata, Mammalia, Artiodactyla, Hippopotamidae.